GCAUUAUGCAGAGAAGGCCAAGAAGCCCUCACUGAUGCCCAAAUCCUCCAUUGUCUCGGAUGCCUAACCUUAGGGUGAUGAGACAGACAUGGCCCAGAUAGACUGGUGUGCAUUCUAUCCAACUGGACAGGUUGGUUUGAAGGAUGUCUAAGCUCCUGCCUGUUCAUUACAGUAUCUGAAAGAUGCAAAUCCUGUGUGUGGUGGAGGAUGACGAAGUUGGCGUUGACUUCUUAGAAGAAGAGGAGCACGGGCAGAGGGUCCACAUCACAGCUUUCAACAAGAUCUGAAAGUCUAAGUGUGGUUCAUGUGUGUGCUCAGGGGGAACUACUGAGUUUAAAGCCUGAGACUCUGAAAAACAAACAAAUAACAAAGAACAAAGUAAACGCAUAACAGCUGAAAA
RNAcentral lists this long non-coding RNA (400 nucleotides) under Rattus norvegicus (Norway rat). Its description in RNAcentral is "long non-coding RNA NONRATT020830". The record is from RNAcentral. Lineage: Eukaryota; Metazoa; Chordata; Mammalia; Rodentia; Muridae.